RNAcentral lists this ribosomal RNA (480 nucleotides) under uncultured bacterium. RNAcentral's name for it is "partial 16S ribosomal RNA". It matches the Rfam family "Bacterial small subunit ribosomal RNA", at positions 28 to 507 of the family's 1533-position model. The record is from RNAcentral.
GAUGAACGCUAGCGGCAGGCCUAACGCAUGCAAGUCGAGGGAGAGGUUACCUUCGGGUAACCAACACCGGCGCACGGGUGCGUAACGCGUAUACAAUCUGCCUUUCACAUAGGGAUAGCCCGAAGAAAUUUGGAUUAAUACCUAAUGGUAUAUAAGAGCGGCAUCGUUUUUAUAUUAAAGCUACGGUGGUGAAAGAUGAGUAUGCGUUCUAUUAGCUAGUUGGAGAGGUAACGGCUCCCCAAGGCGACGAUAGAUAGGGGUUCUGAGAGGGAUGUCCCCCACACUGGUACUGAGAUACGGACCAGACUCCUACGGGAGGCAGCAGUGAGGAAUAUUGGACAAUGGUCGGAAGACUGAUCCAGCCAUGCCGCGUGCAGGAUGAAGGUCCUAUGGAUUGUAAACUGCUUUUGUAAGGGAAGAAUAAGGAGUACGUGUACUUUGAUGACGGUACCUUACGAAUAAGCAUCGGCUAACUCCGUG